UGUUGCUCAGUGGUAGAGCACUUGCUUAGCAUGCAUGAGGUCCUGGGUUCAAUCCCCAGUA
Molecule: transfer RNA, 61 nt
Filed under: Cavia porcellus (domestic guinea pig)
Lineage: Eukaryota; Metazoa; Chordata; Mammalia; Rodentia; Caviidae
Rfam family: tRNA
About the family: Transfer RNA (tRNA) molecules are approximately 80 nucleotides in length. Their secondary structure includes four short double-helical elements and three loops (D, anti-codon, and T loops).
Source: Rfam by way of RNAcentral